ACAUCCAGAGAAUUUAGCAGAGAUGCUUUAGUGCCUUCGGGAACUCUGAGACAGGUGCUGCAUGGCUGUCGUCAGCUCGUGUUGUGAAAUGUUGGGUUAAGUCCCGNAACGAGCGCAACCCUUAUCCUUUGUUGCCAGCACGUAAUGGUGGGAACUCAAAGGAGACUGCCGGUGAAUAAACCGGAGGAAGGUGGGGAUGACGUCAAGUCAUCAUGGCCCUUACGAGUAGGGCUACACACGUGCUACAAUGGCGCAUACAAAGAGAAGCGACCUCGCGAGAGCAAGCGGACCUCAUAAAGUGCGUCGUAGUCCGGAUUGGAGUCUGCAACUCGACUCCAUGAAGUCGGAAUCGCUAGUAAUCGUAAAUCAGAAUGUUACGGUGAAUACGUUCCCGGGCCUUGUACACACCGCCCGUCACACCAUGGGAGUGGGUUGCAAAAGAAGUAGAUAGCUUAACCUUCGGGAGGGCGUUUACCACUUUGUGAUUCAUGACUGGGGUGAAGUCGUAACAAGGUAAGCGUAGUGCU
This 527-nucleotide ribosomal RNA is filed under the name uncultured bacterium. Its description in RNAcentral is "bacterial SSU rRNA". It matches the Rfam family "Bacterial small subunit ribosomal RNA", at positions 984 to 1509 of the family's 1533-position model. The record is from RNAcentral.